CAGCAGCCGCGGGAAUACAGAGGGCGCGAGCGUUAAUCGGAUUUACUGGGCGUAAAGCGUGCGUAGGCGGCUAAUUGAGUCGGAUGUGAAAUCCCCGAGCUUAACUUGGGAAUUGCAUUCGAUACUGGUUAGCUAGAGUGUGGGAGAGGAUGGUAGAAUUCCAGGUGUAGCGGUGAAAUGCGUAGAGAUCCGGAGGAAUACCGAUGGCGAAGGCAGCCAUCUGGCCUAACACUGACGCUGAGGUACGAAAGCAUGGGGAGCAAACAGGAUUAGAUACCCCAGUAGUCCCUGUCUCUUAUAC
This 301-nucleotide ribosomal RNA is filed under the name uncultured bacterium. RNAcentral's name for it is "partial 16S ribosomal RNA". It matches the Rfam family "Bacterial small subunit ribosomal RNA", at positions 509 to 807 of the family's 1533-position model. The record is from RNAcentral.